UGCCUGUGUGUCAUUUCCUGUCACUUACCUUUACCAGAGAUACUCUAUAUAAUGAUGAGAAGGUCUUGUCUCCGGCUAAAAAAUGGGUAUUGUUGUCCACAAACUCGGAACGGCAAGCUGUCAAGCUCCGCCUAUUUCUCUUUUUGGAAUGGUGGAUACAUACCUUUAUUUCAAUACUUUCUUUGGAUAUUAGAUAAGGGGUGUUGAAUAUUCGAUGAGGGGUGUUGUCAGCAACUGCCUGAAUUCUAUGGUGAAGGUAUUUCAAAUUCAUUGAGAAGUGAGAACCAACACCAACUUCUUGGAAAGAUCCAGCACCAGUCCAAACACCAAUCUAGAUCCCGGUUUCUAGCACCAGUCCUAGCACCAGGCCACCAGAUGAGCUGCGGAGGAGGAACCAAAUCUUCACCCAGAGCGAGCAGGCCACAGGGGAGUACUAUCAUUGAAUUUUGGGACUAGGGCUCCCUUGUGUCUCGGUUUGCUCCUCAGGUUGUCCUUCCUCCCCUACACAGAUCACCUGCAGCAGCCCCAGUUUCCGGUUCCUGGUUCCCGGUUCCCGGUUCCCCGUUCAUGUUUUCCCAGUCCCCAGUCCCAGCAAAAGACCCAGCACCAACCCCUGGUCUCCAGUCCUGGGCCCAGAUUCACAAAACCUUCUUAAAAAGAAGGAUCGGACCCUUUUUUUUUCCAAUUUUCUCAAAAAAUGACAUACAGGCAGUUAGAUUUGGGUAUCUCAGGACCUGAGGCAAAGAUAUGGAUAUUCUUGAAAUCAUUUGAAAGGGAACACUUUGAAAUUUGUGGAAAUGUGAAAUGAAUUCAGGAAAAUGAAACACAUUAGAUCUGGUAAAAGAUAAUACAAACAAAUUAGCAUGCACAUUUAUUUUAGCACAUUCACUAAAUUGUUUGAUAACAAUUAGCAAGCUAGUUUGUUACCACAUGUUCAUAUAAAUCAGAUUUGAUCGUUCAGACACAAGUCUGGCCAUGAAUCAGAUUUGUAUCCGACUUCAAACCACCUAUGAAGGUGAUUUGAAAUGUGGUUUGAAAUAUUCGAUUCCAUGUGCUUUUUGGCUGUAAAGACUUCAGAAAAAAGGACAUACUUGAAUCGGAUAUGCAAAUAAACAGGAUUUGAGUCCCGUCAAACUGCCAAUGUGAACAUGGCUGUAAUAUUUUGUACAUCAGUGUAAGGUGUAGCACCUUAAUGCAUCUCAACUACAUGUUUAACAUAGGCUUUUAGUAAAGUCACAUAGUUCUGUAAGUCUCUUUAAAGCAUAAAAUAUGUCAAUGUUCAACUUUAACAUGUGAUAACUAUGCAACACAACAGAUGAACAGCAAUUACAUUUACACUCAUGGGUGGCUAAAAAGACGAGAACUAGCUGAAUGCCACGCACCUUCUAAACUACUCCUCCAGGACGUCAGGUAGCCUAACGGUUAAGAGUGUUGGGCCAGUAACCAAAAGGUCACUGGUUCAAAUCACUGAGCUGACUAGGUGAAAAAUCUGCCGAUGUGCCCUUGAGCAAGACACUUAACCCUAAUGUCUCGUGUAAGUUUUCUACUAAAUGACUGGGUCAUAUCUCAAUAACCCAACACCAAUAAUCCAGCAUCAAUAACACAACCAGACUAAGUGACCCGCCACCAGCAGUUGAGUCAGCCAAAUAACCCAUAUGCAGUGUGUGUGUGUGUGUGCAGAUAUGAGUUCCCCAGGGGGUGUUUAAAUGCCCAUGGCAGCAUAAAGCAGAGACUAUGAGUGGAGCGAGUGGGUGGAGGGUUUAAAUAUUUAUACCAGGCUUAGUGUACAGUCAGACUCACUGGGGCUCCAUAGGGAACAGACUUCUAGGGGGCAUCCAGGCUUGAUACAAGGCCGAUGUGUGUGCGUGCAAGCCUGUGUGACAGAGCAGGCAUGAGUGUGUGUUUCUCAAAUUCUCACAUUGAUAUUCCAUUCAGUCGGGCACAGUAGGUCACUCUGUUAUUAUUAGAGCUGGUAAUAAAAGCUGAAGAGUUGUCGCCCUCCUUGGACCAAUUCUGAGAACAGGGGUGAUACAUUCUUGUGAGAUGUAGGAGUGAGAGUUCUGCAAUGACGAAGGUAGGUGGAGAGUUUGGUGUCACGUAAAAUAUUGUUCAAUGUGUUACGUGACGUCAAUGUGACGACAUUCCCAAACAAUCUGACAUUAGCCUGUGUGUUUGACUCCUGAUGUCUUUGUGUGUUUAUUAACAUAGUACUGUAACGUCUCUUAGCAUGAGGCAAGUAAAUAGAAGUCUCUUUAAAUACACUAAACAGUCUUGAGAUCCCAUAUGUGAAACACAUGUUACAGUGGCCCCAAGCAUUGAGUACACACACACACAGACAUGCCCGCCUUGAAAACAUAUAGCUACGCUAUCAGAUAAUCUCUGUCACUUCCUGUUGUUGUUGAUCUAGGUCAAAGGGCAGUACACAAAGAGCAAGCACAUCACUGGGCUGGAUUAUUUUCUCUGCUUUAAUGACAUAAAUGUGCAUUAAAUACUUAGUUCAUAGAGUCAUAUUUUUCUUGAAUAAAGAAAUAUAGUUACGGUUUAUAUGUUUAGGGACUUUUCUGACAAUUUCUGUACUGGGGUCUUCUUUUACAUACUCCGUGGAGAACCUGUAGAAGGGCCCAGAGUUGAUCCUGGUCAGGUCACAUUUUCAGAAAAAACGCCUGGCCCUAAUCGUAGAUCAUACAGCCUAUUAAUAGUCUGUAGAACGAGGUGAGAGGUACUCAAAUGUCUCAGCUCUUUCCACAGCCCUGUGUCUCCACAGUGUGAAGUCAUUCCCUCUUGUGCGUAAGCAGGUGAGGAAGAUAUCAUUCUGUUACAGUGCCUUCAGAAAGUAUUUACACCUCUCAACAUAUUGUUGUGUUGCAGACGGAAUUUGAAAUUGAUUAAAUUAUGAUUUUGUGUCACUGACGUACACACAAUAUCCCAUAAUGUCAAAGUGGAAUUAAGUUUUUAGAAAUGGUUACAAAUUAAUAAAAAAUUAAAAGCUAAAAUGUCUUUGAGUCAAUAAGUAUUCAACCCCUUUGUUAUGGCAAGCAUAAGUAAGUUCAGGAGUAAAAAUGUGCUUACCAAGUUGCAUAAUAAGUUGAAUGUACUCCCUCUGUGUGCAAUAAUAGUGUUAUUCAUUAUUUUUGAAUGCUUACCUCAUCUCUGUACCCCACACAUACAAUUAUCUGUAAGGUCCCUCAGUCGAGGAGUGAAUUUCAAACAAAGACUGAACCACAAAGACAAGGGAGGUUUUCCAAUGCCUCGCAAAGAAGGGAGCCUAUUGGUGUAUGGCUAAAAAAAAAGCAAGAAAAAAGCAUUUAAUAUUAAUUUGAGCAUGGUGACGUUAUUAAUUAUACUUUGCAUGGUGUAUCAAUACACCCAGUCACUACAUGUCACACCCUGACCUUAGAGAGCCUUUUUAUGUCUCUAUUUUGUUUGGUCAGUGUGUGAUUUGGGGUGGGCAUUCUAUGUUUUUGUUUUCUAUGUUUUGACCGGGUAUGGUUCUCAUUCAGGGACAGCUGUCUAUUGUUGUCUCUGAUUGGGAACCAUACUUAGGUAGCCCUUUUCCCUACUUUCUUUGUGGGAAGUUAUCUUUGUUAGUGGCACUUUGCCCUUAAGCUUCACGGUCGUUUUUGUAUUGUUUAUUGUUUUUGUCUGUGUCAUCCAUAAUAAAAAGGGAAUAUGUACGCUCA
Molecule: long non-coding RNA, 3680 nt
Organism: Salvelinus fontinalis (brook trout)
Lineage: Eukaryota; Metazoa; Chordata; Actinopteri; Salmoniformes; Salmonidae
Exons: 2
Source: RefSeq, a predicted model, not a curated record